GCUUUGGGGAGAAAAAGGAAAAAUAAAAUCUUUAAAAAAAAAAAAAAAAAGAAAUGCAGGAGAAGUAGCUGGCUAUCAAGCAAUUGUCCUAAAUUACACAGAUCUAAGUAAUGCAAGACAAAACCUAUGGCCAUGUGCUAUUUAAAAAAAAAAAAAAAACCAGAAUAAUCAGUGCCCACAGCUAUUUCUCACACAAAUUUCUAAAGCAAGUUUCACUCUUCUUCUGUUCCUCUUGGAUAUCUGCGAAUUGUUUUGGGAUUUCAAAUUUAUUUAUUGUAAGUGCCAUGGAAACAACACCCAGAAACUAGGGGAGAGAAAAACUAACUCCAAGAGGGUGGAAAGAAGAGAAGAGAAGCAAAGACAUAAAGAAUGGGGAAUCUCUGCCGACUAUAGAUAGCAAUAGAGACAACAGGACUAGUGGAAGAAAGAAAAGAGAAUAUAAUGCAGAUCCCUCCCAUCUACUUGCAACCCACUGACGUGAUUUAACAAAAUCUGCUUCUGUGUUCCACGUAAUCAGCAUUCCCGUCCCCAUUUUAUUCAUUAUUGCUCCUACGAAGUAAGCACCACUACGUGCAAAAGCAUAAAAUCAAGCAUUUUCUGGAGACACACAAGGUGACACAACACUGCAGAAACUUCUUUAAGAACAGAGAUGUGAUGUUGGGCAAGCGGUGAGUGCAAGGCAGGACUGUGUAACUAAAUUUAAAAGAGUCACGUUAGAAAGGAAAAACAUAUACGACAUAAUGUGAACAACGGUUAUCUAGGGGAUAGAGUUAUGCCAGAUUUUCUUCUUUUUACUCAUCUGCAUUUAUAAAUUUUAUUUAAUGAACUUUAAUUUCCUAGGCCAUAUAAUAUACAUAAAUAUGAUAGACAAAUUAUGUUUAAUUUAUAUUAGAGAUAGCAUCAUAAUAAGUGUAUAUAAAUAAAUGCAUGUAUAUAUACACACGCGUGUGUAUGGGUGUGAAUGCAUUCUUUCAGAAGAGCAAAGUUUUCUUGGUGCUUUAAAUAUGCACCUCUGGUAAAGAUGUUAUAAUAUAAAAGUCAAAUAAGCAUAGCUCCAGGCUUUGAUAACUUUGCUAUACUUACUAGUAUUGCUGUCCCAAGAUCUAAGAGAUAUUUUCAAAGCAACCACCACUGCGAUAAUGCAGUGGUUAAUGAUAAGGAAGAGGAGAGUGUGGUCUGAGGUUGUAUAAAUAGUUUCUUAAUUUUGAAUAUUACAUUUUCUCUAAGGAAGUUUCUAAAAAAGCCCAAAUAUUGCACAUUAUUUCUGAAAGGAUCAAGGAGAGUUUUUUUCCCAAUCACAAGAUGGUUGCAGACAUCACUGCCUUUUCCCUUUCAACUCUUAGCGUGAUCUGAAAGUAGGUGCAAUCAACAAACUGCCUGGGCUUUGGGAUCGGACCUAAGGUAAAUCCCAGCUCUGCCACUUGCUAGCUGUGUGAGCUCAGUUAAAUUACUUCAGCUUCCUGAACCCCAUUUCGCCAUUUGUAAAAUGGAGACGAGGGCGCCUUCCUCGCUACACAGCUGCUGUUGAGAAAUGACUGAGAUCACAUUUGUAAACAAACACUCCUGUCAUAGUGCCUGGAACUUCAGUGGGGCCCAACAAAAUAAGAAUCCAUUGCCUUUCAGAGGCUUUGGAACUCAAAUGAACCUCUUUGAGGCCAGGUCUCUUCCAUUAGCCAUCAUCCAGCUGACAUUUCUGAGACAAGAACUCUCCUAGUCUAACGAGGUGGCUGCAGCUCCGGGGCGGGGGGUUACGCCAAGAACAUGCGGCCGGAUGCGCAGCGGGAGCAGGUACCACCGCUGAGCAGCGAGGCCAGGGUUCCCUUCCGCCCCAGAGUUCAGAAACUACCGUAGGAGUGCAAGCUAAGAAAGAUUACAACAGGAAAAAUCCAGGGCAGGAAAUAAAAAAAGAAGAAAACCCCCACCUGAGACAGUCACUUACUGUCUUAAGGAAUUCCCGGAAGGGAAACAAAACAGUUUCUUUUUCUGUGUAGCGAUAAGAAGGCAAACAAGCCUCUAGAGGCACAUCUAGUCCCAAGAUAACUUUUUCAAGAAAGAAACGGCGCGGUCUGAAGCCUCAGGGUUAACUGCCGCCGCGGGGCUGAUUUAUUCCCUAAAUUUGAGAACUGUGGGAAAACGUGCCAAAUUCAGACUGCAGGUUCUCGCAGCGCUCGGGCGCGCGCACAGCCACGCGCAGAAGCGGAGUCCGGGCUUGACAUGGUGCCAGAGUGUGCUACAUUUAGCAAUUUGGGUUUAGACAACGUGGAUUGUGAUAAAAUGCAUGUAAGAAUGCAACGAUGCUGAGGAAUACAGUAUUGAAAGUCACCAGAAAUCAGGAUUACACUGUGUUCUCUCAUCCGUCCUCAUGACAACGUGAUGAAGUAGAUGCUGUGUCAUUCCUGUUUCACAGCGUGUCUUAAUCGCCAACAAUGAGAGGAUUACACAUAAAAAUCACAAUGGCUGCCUUCUCUUAAAAAGCGGAAAAUCUAGCAACACUAAACAAGUGUGUCAACGAUGAAUAGGCACAUUGGCGGCUGACUCCUUUAUGGGGUACCGAGGUCCCCUGCUCAUUGGAGGUAUCACUCUGCCUUUUCAGUCAUUUCUGCAUUUGGAUAAGCGAAACUUGCCCUACAUUUUGGGACAUAGAUGAGCAAUGCACAGCAAAAAUAUCAUAUAUAGGUUGUGCACACUUCAAGAAAUUAAGAAUUAGAAAGGUCAAUCAAUGCAAUAAUAAUAAUCCUGUUGUUUAUAUUUUCUGGAGCAACAUCAGCAAACCAUAGUCUUAAGGCUUCUGAUUUUCAUUGAAUGAUAAUGCCUAAUACUUUCUCAUCGUGAUUGAGUAAACACUGUUUCAAGAUAAACACGAGGGGAAGAUCACAUAGAAUGUCAGAACUGGAAGAAAACUGAGAAGUGCAAGAGCUCAAACUUCCAUUUCAGAAAUAAGUUGUGGAGAUCCAGAGAUGUAAAGAUCUUGUCCCAAGUCACAUUAGCUUCUUGUUGCCAGAGUCAGGACGGUGGGAUUCCCAUGCCAGGGGUCUUUCUGUUACUCUGCGGCUAUUCUCUGCUUGCCUGUACUACAUUUUCCUCUGAUGUGUGUAAAUCAGCCAGGUUGGGAAAAGCAUAACACUGUUAUAGCUGUAUAUUGCAUAUUUGUAACAGUUGAUAUUGAUCUUUCUCAUAUUUUGGGGACUAGAGAUGGGCAGUAACACUCAUCAAAGACACUCAGUACAGUGUCAUUCAUACUCUAUUAAAAGAUUGGACAGUCAAACAGUUAAAAGGUACUUAAAGAUCUCUUCAAACUUUGCACAUAGUACAAGAAUCCAUUCUGUAACAGUCCUGAAACCAUCUUGCUUCCAAUUAAUUAAUUCAACAGACAAGGCGUGCUCUACCCUAUAAGGUAAGUCGUCCUCUGUGUUAUUGGGUUGGUAGAAACUUUCACCUGAGUUUCUAGGUGAAGGUAAGUGAAAACUGUUUCCUUGUAGACGUAACCCAUGGGUGCAGGUAUACUUUCACAAGGACCAUGAAGACGCCAGCUCUCCUCCUCCACGUCACUCCAGUGCGUCAGGCAGCCCUCACGUCUCCCUCAGGUCCUGACUUCUGACUAAGCCUUCUCAGUUACUCAGAGCCAUUUCUCUAUGUGGCCAGGCUUCUGGGCCUCUCACAAUCCUCAUCACCUGAUCAUUUCCUUGAUUAUUAAAAUGGAACACUUUGCUGAUCAAUGCCUUGCGAAACAAAUAGGUUAAGUCUCCAACUGCAGCUUUGCUAAGCCAAACAGAGAUCCACAUUGCGGAGACUUUCUGUGGCUUAUAAACAGCAAUAACAAGACACUUCCCCCUUGGUGAGAUGACUUUGUUAAUAGUUCAAGGCUUCCAUUAGUAACAAAUGAAUUUCUGAAUUAUCUUUUACCCCAUAAAAUCUCUCAACAGUUCAUGCGCCAGAACCCUCCCUGCUGAUUUCAUCUUCAACUUGCCUUUCCUAUAUUGUUUCUCUGAAGUCGGUGACUUUGAUAAGCUUCCAUCCUUUUUCCACCUUCCUGAGCGGGAACUUGGUUGCUUCUCUCCUGUUGUGUGAGGUACAUCCUUCUGAUAGCUUUGGGAAUGUCCUGUUUCUCUAAGAACACAGCUGGCCUAAUCCUUUGCUUUAAUCUCAGGUCCAAAGUCAUACAGACCUGAGUUUGAAUUCCAACCCCAUUACUCAGAAAUGGUAUGACCUUGGGUAAGUUACUUAAACUCAGCUUCCGUUUCCUGGUUUAAAGAAUGGAUAUAUUAAGAGUACAGUUGAUACCUGAUCCAUGCUAACUGGGUAAUGAAUGUUUGUUGUUGCUGUUAAUAAUGCUAUUGUAGCUCUGAACUUCCUAUACUGCUCAUAAGCAAUGUGAUCCUCUUCACACAGCCUUGUUUAUCCCAGGAUAAGUUGCUCCACCACAACACCGUUUCUCUAAUUGAAACAGCUGAUAUUUUGUCUUCUUUAGCUCACUCCUCAAUGGUGUCUAUGACUCCAGUCCGAAGCACUAUAUAUAUCCUCCUUGGUAUGGCUUUUUUCUCCUCCAACAUGCUGGGUUCCAAUUCCAAAACACUGGUGGUAAUAUUAACAAUUCUAUAUUUAUUCACUGUUUUGUGUCUAGAGGAUUCACAACUUGGUUUCUAGACUAAAUAAGUGACUAUCAGUUAGUCUCCACAGAAGUCCAGCAAAUCCACCCAUUCACCACGUCAUCCACACUUAGAGAGUCAGAGAGUCAUCGAGUUGAUGGAUGGAACCCAACUGGGGUUUCAAGUUGGAAAGAACCCCAGGACAUCACGUGAUUCUACCCUUUCAGCCCAGUGAUUCCCAAAUUCCAGUAUGUAUAAGAAUCAUUGAGGAUCCUAUCAAAAAUAGAUUCCAUUCCUGAUAAUUUAUGUGGAUACAUUGCCCUCAAGGAGGUGGAGUGUAACUCCCCAUUCUUUAAGUGUAGACCUUGAAUGGUGACUUCCAAAGAGUAUAGUAUGGAAGGGGGUGGGAGAAGAGUAACUUUACCAUAGAGAAAGCUGUAAACCUCAGUCAGGUGAUUAAGAUUAACAUCAAUUGUGAUAAGUCCUCUUGAUAACAUGUACACUUGAUAUGCAGUGAUGAGAAUGGCACUUUACCUCUGAGCUGUUCCUCCUCAAAACAUAUAACCUCAGUCUAAUCAUGAGAAAAUCAUUAGAAAAUUCCCAAUGAUACCUGACCAGUACUCUUCAAAACUGUCAAGGUCAUUAAAAAUAAGGAAAGUCUAAGAAACCAUCACAGCCAAGAGGAACCUAAGGAGACACGACAACUAAACGUAAUGUGGUAUUCUGGGUAGGAUCCUGGAACAAAAAAGGGACAUUAGGUAAAACUAAGGAAAUCUGAAUAAAGUAUGCACUUCAGUUAAUAAGGAAGUAUCACUAUUGGUUCAGUAAUUGUGACAAAUGUACCAUGCUAAUGUAAGAUGUUAAUAAUAGAGGAAACUGGGUGUGGGGUAUCAGGAACUAUGUACUAUCUUCAUAAGUUUUCUGUAAACCUAAAUCUAUUCUGAAAUGAAAAGUUUAUUUUAAAAAAUUUAUUCAAAGAUCUUCCCCAGGAUUUUUAUUUAGGAGGUGUGUUUGGGUGGGAGGGGGUUCAGCUUUGUGUAUUAUUAACACACAGUCUUGUUGAUGCUGAUAUAAUCAACCCAGAUCAUGCUUUGAGAACCCUGGUCUACUCUGAAGGUUCUCAUCCUUGGCUGCACUUUGGAUGUCUGUGCCCCAUCCCAGAUGCUCUGAUUUAAUUGAUCUGGAGUGUGGCCUGGGCAUUGGGAUUUUUUUAAAGCCCCUUAGCUGAUUUUAUAUGUAGUCAACUUUAAAAAUAACCUCUGUUCCUGUGAUGUCCAAUAUAGUGGCUACUAGCCACAUAUGGCAUUUAAAUUUAAUUAAAAUUAAAUAAAAUGAAAAAUUCAAUUCCUACCCACAUUUCAGUGAUCAAUAGUCACAUGUGGCUAGUGGCUACUGUACUGAAUAGUGCAGAUAUUGAACAUUUCCAUCAUUGUAGAAAGUUCUGUUGGACAGUGCUGAUCCAUAUAAUUGGUGUGAAGGGGACAUUUGUGGUCUUCUCCAGGGGCCUCUGAGAGGAAGAAUGCCUAAAGAGUCCCUGUGAGUAAUACGUAGGACAGGCCACUCUUAUCAUUGGUGAAAAUCAGGAUAACCAACUUGUCCUGGUUUGCCCAAGACUAUCUCAAGCACUAACAGUCCCACAUCCUGAGAAAUCUCUCAGUUAUGGGCAAACCAUGAUAGUCACCCUAGAGAUCCAAGGCUUUAGGGAAGAAGAGCUUUAACUAGUAGGAGGCUGGGAGAUUCGAGUCUAGUCAGGGAAGGAGGGAGGAGCUGAUGCUAGGGAUGUUUUCGCUCACUUGAGCCAGCUGGUGCCUGAAUUGUCCUGUGUGCCCAGGAUUUCAUGAGGCAGGGAUGUUGAACAGUGAAUUCACCUGCCUUUGCAUGAUGGUUAAACCCCUUGCUCCCUGCUCCCUUGGUAGAUCCUGACACCCAGGCCCCUACCUAACUUCUGUGUAUGUGCUUCAACUCAAUCCCUGGUCAAACCAAGACGUGUCUGAGUCUGAUUCUCUGCUCCACCGCUUACUAGCUAUGACGCCUUUUGCAAGAUAUUUAGCUUAUCUGAGCCUCUAUUUCCUCACCUAUAAAAGGGAAUAACAGUAUUGCUUAUGGCUGCUGUGAAGAUUAAAUGAGCUCAUGUAUAUAGAGAAAAUAGCUCAAAGUACUAUCUGAUAAAUAUUAGUUGAUGUUGUUAUUAUUUACCCUCUCCUCAGAAUACCUUUGACCUUUAUUGUUGAAAAAUCACUUGCUAAGCAUUUUCUGUGCUUGAUUCAGUUCAGUUCAGGAAAAAUUUACUGAAUGUUCCAGGCUCUAUGAAUGCAAAGAUGAAAUCAAUUUAGUCUUUGCCCUCAAACAUGUUAUAGUCUAGCCUGGAAGUUAGGUGUAUUAUUAUGGAGCAAUGUUGUGAGUCCUAUGAGAGAGCUGAACAUAGUGUGGUAGGGGCAAACAGAGAAUGGGGUAUGGAGGUGGGCAGGGAAGGCUUCCCCGGGGGUGGUGACACCUACCUGAGUUGAGGAGGAUGAGUAGAGCAUGCCAGAAGAAGAACUGGAGUGAGGGGCGAAGUUGGAAGGAUAAAUGGGGAAAGACUGUUCCAGGUAGAGGAACAGCAUGAGCAAAGGUCCUAAACUGUAAGCUAGUCUGAUUUGCUAGUGGAAAAGUCCAUCAUUCAGACUUUGCUGGAUACCUACUACUUGGGGGGUGGGGGGUGGGGGGUGUAAGGCAGAAGAAGCAGGCAAAAACUAAGUGCCUUGACAAAGGGACGAUAGCUGGCGUCUUUCUCCUCCGGGAAUUUAACUCAGCUUUUAAAGCUCUCUGUUCUUCACUGUUAAAUCUAAUUUCCCAAGUUAUCUUUUGGUGACAACGAGAAUGCUAAAAAUUGUUCUGCCUCCCCUAUCUAACAGGGUGCUAUUCUGCAAUCCAACAUGCAUUGCGUCCUUUUACAAAUAAAAUAAAAUAAAGCACUUGAAAGUCUUCUUUCAAUCUAGAAAUACUUUACGUAUUCUAAACCCUCUGAAAAGUUUAAAGGCAUAAACAAGCUUAUUCUGCUUUCCCAGUUGGCCUUUAUUGGAUUAUGGACAGACAGCUUUACAGUUUUUUGAUCCCUUUCCUAAGAUAGGACGCGGGCACUAUCUCUUAAGUGUCUAUUAAAUGUUAGUAAGUAUAUCUAACAUCAAUGCCAUUGGUUGAACAGGGCAGAUAUGAUUUUUAAACUGAGAAACUGCUACAAAUGCCUUGACGUGCAACAGGAAAUACAUUUGCGUGUGUGAUGGGAUGGACAUAUGUGGCAUUCAGAAUAAUGGCCUCCUCAACCUAUCCCUAUCCUCAUCCCCAAAACCUGUGAAAAGGAACUUUGCAGAUGUGAUUAAGUUAAUGUUGUUAAAAUGGGGAGAUUAUCCUGGAUUAUUCAGCAGGGCCCAGUGUAGUGACAGGGCCAUUCUAAGAAGGAGGCAGAAUGGUCAAGAUCAAAAAGAGAGAUUUGAAGAUGCUGCACUGCUAGCUUUGAAGAUGGGAAAAAGGGGCUGUAAGCCAAGGAAUGCAGGUGGCCUCUAGAAAGUACAAAAGGUGAGGAAACAGAUUCUCCCCCAGAGCUUGCAAAAGAAAGACAGCCACCUUGAUGUCAGCCCAGUGAACCCUGUUUCAAGAACUGUAACAUAAUAAAUUUUUGUUGUUUGAAACCAGUAAGUUUGUUGUAAUUUGUUCAAGCAGCAACAGGAAACAGGGUGUCACAUUCUGGUUAAGAGUUUACCUCUGAACUUUUAUCUGAGAAAGUAUCUCUCUCGCCUCUAGAUCUAACUUCCUCUUACAGAACACUUGGUGAUAAUAACAGCUAACAAUUACAUAGUCGUCUCUCCACAGGGCUAGUCAGUGCUCUAGGCACUUCUCAUUUGUUAACUCUUCACAUCUCAUUACCACCUUGUGAUAAGGUAUGAUUAUUAACUCUAUUUUUUUUUUUUUUCUGAGGAAGA
Equus caballus (horse) is the source of this 8545-nucleotide non-coding RNA. NCBI's taxonomy places the organism in Eukaryota, Metazoa, Chordata, Mammalia, Perissodactyla, Equidae. The record is from RefSeq and is a predicted model, not a curated record.